GAAUAUUGGACAAUGGGCGAAAGCCUGAUCCAGCAAUGCCGCGUGAGUGAUGAAGGCCUUAGGGUUGUAAAGCUCUUUUACCCGGGAUGAUAAUGACAGUACCGGGAGAAUAAGCUCCGGCCAACUCCGUGCCAGCAGCCGCGGUAAUACGGAGGGAGCUAGCGUUGUUCGGAAAUACUGGGCGUAAAGCGCACGUAGGCGGCGCAGCAAGUCAGGGGUGAAAUCCCGGGGCUCAACCUCGGAACUGCCCUUGAAACUGCAGUGCUAGAAUCUUGGAGAGGCGAGUGGAAUUCCGAGUGUAGAGGUGAAAUUCGUAGAUAUUCGCAAGAACACCAGUGGCGAAGGCGGCUCACUGGCCCGGUACUGACGCUGAGGUGCGAAAGCGUGGGGAGCAAAC
Molecule: ribosomal RNA, 397 nt
Filed under: uncultured bacterium
Lineage: Bacteria
Description: bacterial SSU rRNA
Rfam family: Bacterial small subunit ribosomal RNA
Source: RNAcentral